This 258-nucleotide unclassified non-coding RNA is filed under the name Hevea brasiliensis (rubber tree). Lineage: Eukaryota; Viridiplantae; Streptophyta; Magnoliopsida; Malpighiales; Euphorbiaceae. The record is from RNAcentral.
GAUCUUCAUAGAGAGGGCGACUUGCUGAAAGUCUAUGGGUAGGAAAUAGUGUUAGUAGUUAUGCUUGCAGGUGAUGUUUUCUCUUAGGUUUGGAUGUUGUGCUCUGCUUAAGGGAAAUUGUUAAUAUUGUUUUAGACAUUUGCACCUCUGAGGCUUUAUACUUCUCCAUCUUUGCGAGAAGUUCACCCUAACAAGACUAUAUGAGACUGAAAGGCCAGAGGCUCUGCUACGUCACCUUCCUUGAGCUGUAAAGUUGUG